AACGAACGCUGGCGGCGCGUCUUAAACAUGCAAGUCGAACGAUCUGUAGCAAUACAGGGAGUGGCGGACGGGUGAGGAACACGUAGGAAUCUACCUUGAAGAGCGGGACAACUUUGGGAAACCGGGCUAAUACCGCAUAGUACAGAGAUGUUAAAGGGCUAGCAAUAGUCGCUUCGAGAUGAGCCUGCGGUCUAUCAGCUUGUUGGUGAGGUAAUGGCUCACCAAGGCUACGACGGAUAGCCGGUCUGAGAGGAUGAUCGGCCAACACUGGCACUGAGACACGGGCCAGACUCCUACGGGAGGCAGCAGUUAAGAAUCUUGCGCAAUGGGGGAAACCCUGACGCAGCGACGCCGCGUGAAGGAU
This 364-nucleotide ribosomal RNA is filed under the name uncultured bacterium. RNAcentral's name for it is "bacterial SSU rRNA". It matches the Rfam family "Bacterial small subunit ribosomal RNA", at positions 29 to 409 of the family's 1533-position model. The record is from RNAcentral.